Molecule: ribosomal RNA, 468 nt
Filed under: Triticum aestivum (bread wheat)
Lineage: Eukaryota; Viridiplantae; Streptophyta; Magnoliopsida; Poales; Poaceae
Description: partial small subunit ribosomal RNA
Source: RNAcentral
GAGAAUCCGGAUUCUCUAUGUGCUACUAUUUUGAGAGUCAAAUACUAUCCUGACGGUGACUUGUUGAACACUGACCUGAAGAAGGAUUCUUCCUUCACCUGGCAAAGUAUUAUGGCGGGUGUGAGCUCCCUGAAGCGUGGUCAUAUUUGGCGAGUGGGAAAUGGGCAGAAUAUUGACAUUUGGGAGGACGCCUGGAUUCCAAAUUGUGCAAACCGUAAAAUUGUUACCCCUAAGGGAGGCCAGUUGUUACGGAAGGUAGCAGAUUUGAUUGAUCCAAUCCUAAAUAGUUGGGAUGAAGAUCUCCUCAGACAGACUCUAUGGCCUAUUGAUGUUCAGCGGGUGCUUGCGAUCCCAAUAUCGCAACAUGAUAUGCCAGAUUUCGUAGCUUGGAAUUUCACAAAAAAUGGAAUUUUUUCGGUUCGGUCUGCUUAUUUUGUGGAAUGGGAACAAGUUACGACAUACCAAUAG